UACAGAGGUCUCAAGCGUUGUUCGGAUUCAUUGGGCGUAAAGGGUGCGUAGGCGGCGCGGUAAGUCGGGUGUGAAAUCUCGGAGCUUAACUCCGAAACUGCAUUCGAUACUGCCGUGCUUGAGGACUGGAGAGGAGACUGGAAUUUACGGUGUAGCGGUGAAAUGCGUAGAUAUCGUAAGGAAGACCAGAGGCGAAGGCGGGUCUCUGGACAGUUCCUGACGCUGAGGCACGAAGGCCAGGGGAGCAAACGGG
Molecule: ribosomal RNA, 253 nt
Filed under: uncultured bacterium
Lineage: Bacteria
Description: partial 16S ribosomal RNA
Rfam family: Bacterial small subunit ribosomal RNA
Source: RNAcentral